GACGAACGCUGGCGGCGUGCUUAACACAUGCCAGUCGAACGGAAAGGCCCUGCUUUUGUGGGGUGCUCGAGUGGCGAACGGGUGAGUAACACGUGAGUAACCUGCCCUUGACUUUGGGAUGACUUCAGGAAACUGGGGCUAAUACCGGAUAGGAGCUCCUGCUGCAUGGUGGGGGUUGGAAAGUUUCGGCGGUUGGGGAUGGACUCGCGGCUUAUCAGCUUGUUGGUGGGGUAGUGGCUUACCAAGGCUUUGACGGGUAGCCGGCCUGAGAGGGUGACCGGCCACAUUGGGACUGAGAUACGGCCCAGACUCCUACGGGAGGCAGCAGUGGGGAAUAUUGCACAAUGGGCGGAAGCCUGAUGCAGCAACGCCGCGUGCGGGAUGACGGCCUUCGGGUUGUAAACCGCUUUCGCCUGUGACGAAGCGUGAGUGACGGUAAUGGGUAAAGAGGCACCGGCUAACUACGUG
RNAcentral lists this ribosomal RNA (468 nucleotides) under uncultured bacterium. RNAcentral describes it as "partial 16S ribosomal RNA". It matches the Rfam family "Bacterial small subunit ribosomal RNA", at positions 28 to 507 of the family's 1533-position model. The record is from RNAcentral.